CCCGCACAAGCAGCGGAGCAUGUGGUUUAAUUCGAAGCAACGCGAAGAACCUUACCUAGACUUGACAUCUCCUGAAUUACCCGUAACUGGGGAAGCUCUUCGGAGCAGGAAGACAGGUGGUGCAUGGGUUGUCGUCAGCUCGUGUCGUGAGAUGUUGGGUUAAGUCCCGCAACGAGCGCAACCCUUAUCGUUAGUUGCUACCAUUAAGUUGAGCACUCUAGCGAGACUGCCCGGGUUAAACCGGGAGGAAGGUGGGGAUGACGUCAAAUCAUCAUGCCCCUUAUGUCUAGGGCUACACACGUGCUACAAUGGUGAGGACAAAGAGACGCAAGACCGCGAGGUGGAGCAAAUCUCACAAACCUCAUCCCAGUUCGGAUUGCAGGCUGAAACUCGCCUGCAUGAAGCCGGAGUUGCUAGUAAUCGCGAAUCAGCAUGUCGCGGUGAAUACGUUCCCGGGCCUU
RNAcentral lists this ribosomal RNA (461 nucleotides) under uncultured Clostridium sp. RNAcentral's name for it is "bacterial SSU rRNA". It matches the Rfam family "Bacterial small subunit ribosomal RNA", at positions 920 to 1382 of the family's 1533-position model. The record is from RNAcentral. Lineage: Bacteria; Bacillati; Bacillota; Clostridia; Eubacteriales; Clostridiaceae.